GAUGAGUAGGGCGGGACACGUGGUAUCCUGUCUGAAUAUGGGGGGACCAUCCUCCAAGGCUAAAUACUCCUGACUGACCGAUAGUGAACCAGUACCGUGAGGGAAAGGCGAAAAGAACCCCGGCGAGGGGAGUGAAAAAGAACCUGAAACCGUGUACGUACAAGCAGUGGGAGCACAGAGCAAUCUGUGUGACUGCGUACCUUUUGUAUAAUGGGUCAGCGACUUAUAUUCUGUAGCAAGGUUAACCGAAUAGGGGAGCCGAAGGGAAACCGAGUCUUAACUGGGCGUUAAGUUGCAGGGUAUAGACCCGAAACCCGGUGAUCUAGCCAUGGGCAGGUUGAAGGUUGGGUAACACUAACUGGAGGACCGAACCGACUAAUGUUGAAAAAUUAGCGGAUGACUUGUGGCUGGGGGUGAAAGGCCAAUCAAACCGGGAGAUAGCUGGUUCUCCCCGAAAGCUAUUUAGGUAGCGCCUCGUGAAUUCAUCUCCGGGGGUAGAGCACUGUUUCGGCAAGGGGGUCAUCCCGACUUACCAACCCGAUGCAAACUGCGAAUACCGGAGAAUGUUAUCACGGGAGACACACGGCGGGUGCUAACGUCCGUCGUGAAGAGGGAAACAACCCAGACCGCCAGCUAAGGUCCCAAAGUCAUGGUUAAGUGGGAAACGAUGUGGGAAGGCCCAGACAGCCAGGAUGUUGGCUUAGAAGCAGCCAUCAUUUAAAGAAAGCGUAAUAGCUCACUGGUCGAGUCGGCCUGCGCGGAAGAUGUAACGGGGCUAAACCAUGCACCGAAGCUGCGGCAGCGACGCUUAUGCGUUGUUGGGUAGGGGAGCGUUCUGUAAGCCUGUGAAGGUGUACUGUGAGGUAUGCUGGAGGUAUCAGAAGUGCGAAUGCUGACAUAAGUAACGAUAAAGCGGGUGAAAAGCCCGCUCGCCGGAAGACCAAGGGUUCCUGUCCAACGUUAAUCGGGGCAGGGUGAGUCGACCCCUAAGGCGAGGCCGAAAGGCGUAGUCGAUGGGAAACAGGUUAAUAUUCCUGUACUUGGUGUUACUGCGAAGGGGGGACGGAGAAGGCUAUGUUGGCCGGGCGACGGUUGUCCCGGUUUAAGCGUGUAGGCUGGUUUUCCAGGCAAAUCCGGAAAAUCAAGGCUGAGGC
RNAcentral lists this ribosomal RNA (1154 nucleotides) under Escherichia coli. RNAcentral describes it as "partial 23S ribosomal RNA". It matches the Rfam family "Bacterial large subunit ribosomal RNA", at positions 407 to 1562 of the family's 2925-position model. The record is from RNAcentral. Lineage: Bacteria; Pseudomonadati; Pseudomonadota; Gammaproteobacteria; Enterobacterales; Enterobacteriaceae.